GGUCCCGUAGCUCAGCUGGUUAGAGCGUGGUACUAAUAAUUCCAAUAAGGAAUCAUUGAGUGAUGCCAAGGUCGCGAGUUCGAUCCUCUCCGGGACCA
RNAcentral lists this transfer RNA (98 nucleotides) under Diaporthe ampelina. It matches the Rfam family "tRNA". From Rfam's summary of the family: Transfer RNA (tRNA) molecules are approximately 80 nucleotides in length. Lineage: Eukaryota; Fungi; Ascomycota; Sordariomycetes; Diaporthales; Diaporthaceae. The record is from Rfam by way of RNAcentral.